UAGGCCCCUCUCUACCCUUUCAACCAUAACAAGAGAUUGCCUCUCUUUUCUACCAACUUUCACAUCCCCAAACCCUUUUCCCCCACAUAACCUACCAGUGUGCACAACGCUGAGCCGGAUCGCCCCUACCAGCCCAUCAACAUCAGGUGGGUUCUUCACCUGGCAGGUGUAUGUCCCAUUGUCAUCAAACUGCAGUUUCCAGAGGAUAAUGGAGACAUCGUACCGCUCAGGGUUCCCAUCCCAGACCACCCGGUCCUUGAACCGCCCACUCAUGGGUUGGAAGGGAUCCACAUGGUAGUAGAAGACCUAGAGAGGAGAAAUGGCAAAAGUGUGUCAUUCAGUACCCAGGCAAGGAGACUGCGAUGAGGGGGCGGAAGAGAAACAGCAAGCCCAACUGUCCCAUCCACAACUCUCUCAUAGGAAUCUUGCUUCCCCUCCCCUGGUCUGUCCAGGUCUAUCAGUCUCUAUCCCAAGAAUGUUUCCCAGCUUACCCCUGUGCCUGUUGCUAAAAAAAUACAGGAAGAGUGAGGAAAAAUGCACUGGUUUAAUGUUUUCCUAACCAGGGGUCCCCUAGAAACUAAUGACAUAAUCUACUUACAAACUGUUCAGGCCCCCCAUCUCGAGGACGGAAAUUCCAAGUCACUGUUAGUGCAUUACCCACGGGAGCAAAGCUGGAGAAAGUGCAUUUUAACCGAACAUCUGUCCCAUUCACAGCCUCCACUGCCCCAGAGGUGUAAAUUUCCACAGCUUCUGUGAGCCAAAGAGCUGCAAUAAAAGGAAUAAGAAGGGUUAAAAGAAAAUGUGGCCUUGAGAGAACUAUGACACUUUCAAAAUAAAUGUCUGAGUAGGGAACAAGCAGAACCGUGAUGCCCAGCUUGCUUACUCACCCAGUCUGCACAGUCCGACCCACCUACAUGCAGCCCUGACACUCCCAUGCCCUGACAACUCAAAUACCACACAGUGAACCUUCCUACUGCUUCGACUUUCUCCACCGCCUCAUGGCACUGACUUCAGAAGUGCUAUAACAAACUACAAACACUAGCAAAUAAAAAGAAGUCAGAAGCACAGAAUUAAACUUCCUAGCAGGUAAGUUUUCCAGAAAGAGUCCUCAUUAGAUAGGUUUCCUACAGUUACUAGUCUUCUGCAGAAAUUGGAUUAAUCAGCUUCCACCAGCCUGUGUUUGCCUGCAUCCUGGGACCUUUAUACCAUGUGGCAUAUUUUACCAUAUUGACGUUUAGAAUGUGUGUGUUGGGGCAGUUUCAAAACCACAGUGGGUCUCUCUCUAGCAAUCUUUGUUUUCCUGGUGCUGCACAGAGUUCCAGGCAAGACCCACACACAGAAACCAAGUGCCAGGUCCUACCAGCAGCAGGAGACUGAGAACAGACACACAAAAAUGGUGUGUAACCUGAGAUUAGAAAGCCCUCUCUGUACUGGAUCACUGGCAGCAAACACACCGAAACCUGUUUGUCCAAAGCAAUCCCCCCCGAAACAACUACAGUUUCAGUAAAGUCCAAAUUAAACCACUGCAACUGUGUCUCAGGCUCCCACACAAAACUCUUGCAACUUUUCGACAAUUAACUAUCUCUAUCGUGUACGCAAUAAAAGAGGAAAUGCCAAGAGGAGCUCGCCAGGUCUUACCUGUGAGCUGUAAGCCAAGGAGAAGCGCCACACGCCCAGGACUCUUGCCAUACAUGAGGGAAACCCAGUCCUGGUCCCAGAGACCAGACCGGGCAGACUCGGGGCUCCAGCACCUGCCAAGAUCGGUCCAGGAAGAGUGGGAGCCGCGUUCUCCCGGAGAGGGGAGUCUCAGUCCCUCACCUAUGGGAAUCUGAGCUCCGAAGCAAGCCAGUCGUGACUCAUCCCGACCGGCCGGUGCACUGUGCUGGAAUGAAAGGUGGGGACUCCUCUCAACGCCCUCCUUCCCUUCCUCCGUCCCGCCCUCCACACUACCAGCACGUCUGCACAAAGGUUCCAAACUCUACAGUCCUCUCUUUACUUUUCAGUUCAUCUGACUGGGCUCUGGCCUCUGGAUGGCCUCGGAAACAGCCAGAGGAGGUGGUGCCAUUCCACAGCGUCCCAGGAUUUAAAGAAGAAUCAGGACAAUUACAAAGUGUUUUCCUGCUCCGCCUUUCAUCUCCACAACCCCCCACAAAGUAGUCCCAUUUUACCAAGGAGGACUCGGAGAGCCCAGGGAAGCACUGGAGAUUGAAUCCAGAGCCUCAUCAUGCUGUGCAAGCACUCUACCACUGAGCUAGAUUCCCAACCCUGCAGUUCAGUUUUUACAUGCAUCAAAAAAUAAGAUGGAACCAAAGUGGUGGCUCACACCUGUAAUCCCAGCAACUCCAGGAGGCCGAGGCAGAAGGAUCACAAGUCAGAGGCCAGCCUCAGCAACUUAGUGAGGCCCUAAGCAACUUAGUUCGAGUUGGGCUGGGG
Long non-coding RNA from Sciurus carolinensis (gray squirrel), 2433 nucleotides. RefSeq lists it as uncharacterized. The record is from RefSeq and is a predicted model, not a curated record. The transcript is spliced from 3 exons. NCBI's taxonomy places the organism in Eukaryota, Metazoa, Chordata, Mammalia, Rodentia, Sciuridae.